GAGGGUAUAGCUCAGUGGUAGGGCUCAUGCUUUGCAUGCACAGAGUCCUGGGUCCAAUCCCCAGGACUUUCA
RNAcentral lists this transfer RNA (72 nucleotides) under Camelus bactrianus (Bactrian camel). It matches the Rfam family "tRNA". Rfam says of the family: Transfer RNA (tRNA) molecules are approximately 80 nucleotides in length. Their secondary structure includes four short double-helical elements and three loops (D, anti-codon, and T loops). The record is from Rfam by way of RNAcentral. Lineage: Eukaryota; Metazoa; Chordata; Mammalia; Artiodactyla; Camelidae. RNAcentral also lists the same sequence under 2 other names.